Molecule: ribosomal RNA, 253 nt
Filed under: uncultured bacterium
Lineage: Bacteria
Description: partial 16S ribosomal RNA
Rfam family: Bacterial small subunit ribosomal RNA
Source: RNAcentral
CACGUAGGGCGCAAGCGUUGUCCGGAAUUAUUGGGCGUAAAGGGCGCGUAGGCGGGCUGUCAAGUCUGGGGUGAAAUCCCGCGGCUCAACCGUGGAACUGCCUCAGAUACUGACGGUCUCGAGGGAGGUAGGGGCGAGCGGAACUGAUGGUGGAGCGGUGAAAUGCGUUGAUAUCAUCAGGAACUCCGGUGGCGAAGGCGGCUCGCUGGACCUCUUCUGACGCUGAGGCGCGAAAGCCAGGGGAGCAAACGGG